RNAcentral lists this ribosomal RNA (253 nucleotides) under uncultured bacterium. Its description in RNAcentral is "partial 16S ribosomal RNA". It matches the Rfam family "Bacterial small subunit ribosomal RNA", at positions 524 to 776 of the family's 1533-position model. The record is from RNAcentral.
UACGUAGGGGGCAAGCGUUAUCCGGAUUCACUGGGUGUAAAGGGAGCGUAGACGGCCAUGCAAGCCUGGAGUGAAAGCCCGGGGCCCAACCCCGGGACUGCUCUGGGAACUGUGCGGCUGGAGUGCGGGAGGGGCAGGCGGAAUUCCUGGUGUAGCGGUGAAAUGCGUAGAUAUUAGGAGGAACACCAGUGGCGAAGGCGGCCUGCUGGACGGUGACUGACGCUGAGGCUCGAAAGCGUGGGGAGCAAACAGG